This 778-nucleotide long non-coding RNA is filed under the name Homo sapiens (human). Its description in RNAcentral is "HSALNT0248424". Lineage: Eukaryota; Metazoa; Chordata; Mammalia; Primates; Hominidae. The record is from RNAcentral.
AACAGUGGCAAAGAGCAAUACAGAGAGUUGCCAAAAUUCACACCGCUGGUCCAGGUUUGAAGCAAGCAAUCUGUACCUGCAGUCCUUGUCUGUAACCAUGGCACCCUGGCUUCUCACACAUCUCAUCGUGGAGUUCCACCAUGUGUCAGGCAUGGCACUGAGCACCUUCUUUUAAGAAUAUAAUUUGUAAUUAUGUAGAUUCUUAAUUCUACUUCAAAAUGCCACACAGCCUUCAUGUGAUAAAAUGAAACAAUUGGUCAACUGAUCUCCUGGGAUCUCUACUAAGAUGUUGGCAGCCCGGUCAGCUGGUCUGGCCCUGGACGUGCCUUCAGGGUCUGGUUAUGCUUCAUGACCUGCAUUGUGGUCAGUGGUUCUCAGGUUUCUGCUCAAAAGUCACCUUUCGGAGGGGUCUCCACCUGUCACUGUGUUUUUAAGAGCUCCUUCGGUUUCUUUCUAGCUCAUCUCACUCUGGUAAUGUCUUUGAUUACCACCACCAUCUGACCUGGUCUUAUGAUCUGUUAGCUUCCUUCAUCAGAUGUGAGCACCAGGAUGGCAGGGGCCUCAUCUGUCCUGUUCCUCCUGUGGCCUGGGUCCUAGCACCAUGUCUGGCAUUUUGCAGACUUUGAUCACAGUGAAACGUUCCAUGGGAACUUGGGCCAUGAGAAACAUCCUUCCUAACCACGUGACUGCAGAAACAUCCUUAUCACAUCCUCCUGGGCAAAGGCCCAACAGCCUGACUGCAGGGACAUCCUUGCCAUAUCCUGCUGGGCAGCAAGCU